This 369-nucleotide unclassified non-coding RNA is filed under the name uncultured Chloroflexota bacterium. Its description in RNAcentral is "uncultured Chloroflexi bacterium contains 16S-23S intergenic spacer region". Lineage: Bacteria; Bacillati; Chloroflexota. The record is from RNAcentral.
UCCCCGUUAUCCGGGGCGGUUUCGCUAGAGUGCCCGGCUUGACCCGCUGGCAACUAGUGGCGAGGGUUGCGCUCGUUGCGGGACUUAACCCAACAUCUCACGACACGAGCUGACGACAGCCAUGCAGCACCUUCUCACUCGCUCCCCGAAGGGCACGACCACAUCUCUGCAUGUCAAACCCAGGUAAGGUUCUUCGCGUUGCCUCGAAUUAAACCACACGCUCCGCUGCUUGUGCGGGCCCCCGCCUAUUCCUUUGAGUUUUAACCUUGCGGCCGUAGUCCCCAGGCGGUGAACUUAAUGCGUUAGCUGCGGCACUGAUCGGGUCAAUCCGACCAACACCUAGUUCACAACGUUUAGGGCGUGGACUAC